GAGGGUAUAGCUCAGUGGUAGAGUGCAAGCUUAGCAUCUACGAGGUCCUGGGUUUAAUCCCCAGUACCUUCA
Molecule: transfer RNA, 72 nt
Filed under: Camelus bactrianus (Bactrian camel)
Lineage: Eukaryota; Metazoa; Chordata; Mammalia; Artiodactyla; Camelidae
Also listed under: 2 other names
Rfam family: tRNA
About the family: Transfer RNA (tRNA) molecules are approximately 80 nucleotides in length. Their secondary structure includes four short double-helical elements and three loops (D, anti-codon, and T loops).
Source: Rfam by way of RNAcentral